This 426-nucleotide ribosomal RNA is filed under the name uncultured bacterium. Its description in RNAcentral is "bacterial SSU rRNA". It matches the Rfam family "Bacterial small subunit ribosomal RNA", at positions 355 to 772 of the family's 1533-position model. The record is from RNAcentral.
UGGGGAAUUGUUCGCAAUGGGCGCAAGCCUGACGACGCAACGCCGCGUGGGGGAUGAAGGUCUUCGGAUUGUAAACCCCUGUUGGGUGGGACGAACACUUUCGUGGUGAAUAGCCAUGGAGGCUGACGGUACCACCUGAGGAAGCCCCGGCUAACUCUGUGCCAGCAGCCGCGGUAAUACAGAGGGGGCAAGCGUUGUUCGGAAUUACUGGGCGUAAAGGGCUCGUAGGCGGCCAACUAAGUCGGACGUGAAAUCCCCAGGCUCAACUUGGGAACUGCGUCUGAUACUGGAUGGCUUGAAUCCGGGAGAGGGAUGCAGAAUUCCAGGUGUAGCGGUGAAAUGCGUAGAUAUCUGGAGGAAUACCGGUGGCGAAGGCGGCAUCCUGGACCGGCAUUGACGCUGAGGAGCGAAAGCCAGGGGAGCAAA